CCUUUGGGUGGGGAAUAACUCAGGGAAACUUGAGCUAAUACCGCAUAAUGCAGCGGCUCGACAUCGAGACAGUUGUUAAAGCGGGGGAUUCUGAAAGGAACCUCGCGCCUGAAGAGAAGCCUGCGGCAGAUUAGCUAGUUGGUAGGGUAAUGGCCUACCAAGGCGACGAUCUGUAACCGGCCUGAGAGGGCGGUCGGUCACACUGACACUGACAUACGGGUCAG
This 224-nucleotide ribosomal RNA is filed under the name uncultured bacterium. RNAcentral's name for it is "partial 16S ribosomal RNA". It matches the Rfam family "Bacterial small subunit ribosomal RNA", at positions 129 to 334 of the family's 1533-position model. The record is from RNAcentral.